This 76-nucleotide transfer RNA is filed under the name Planctomycetota bacterium. RNAcentral describes it as "tRNA-Asn". It matches the Rfam family "tRNA". Rfam says of the family: Transfer RNA (tRNA) molecules are approximately 80 nucleotides in length. Their secondary structure includes four short double-helical elements and three loops (D, anti-codon, and T loops). The record is from RNAcentral. Lineage: Bacteria; Pseudomonadati; Planctomycetota.
UCCCCGGUAGCUCAAUUGGUAGAGCGUCCGGCUGUUAACCGGCAGGUUGUUGGUUCAAGUCCAACCCGGGGAGCCA